RNAcentral lists this ribosomal RNA (400 nucleotides) under uncultured archaeon. Its description in RNAcentral is "bacterial SSU rRNA". It matches the Rfam family "Archaeal small subunit ribosomal RNA", at positions 6 to 410 of the family's 1478-position model. The record is from RNAcentral.
GGUUGAUCCUGCCGGAGGUCACUGCUAUUGGGAUUCGACUAAGCCAUGCGAGUCGCGAGGGUUCGGCCCUCGGCUGACGGCUCAGUAACACGCGGAUAAUCUGCCCUUAGGUGGAGGAUAAUCUCGGGAAACUGAGAAUAAUAUUCCAUAGAUUUAGGAUGCUGGAAUGCACUUAAAUUAAAAGCUUCGGCGCCUAAGGAUGAGUCUGCGGACUAUCAGGUUGUAGUCAGGGUAACGACCUGACUAGCCUACGACGGAUACGGGUUGUGAGAGCAAUAACCCGGAGAUGAUAUCUGAGUCACGAUAUCAGGCCCUACGGGGCGCAGCAGGCGCGAAAACUUCGCAAUGUGCGAAAGCACGACGAGGGAAUCCCAAGUGCUGGCUCGUUAGAGUCAGCUGU